AAAACCAUUGACUCCAUUUCCAGCUCCUUGAAGGCACAUAGCUAGGUGGACAAGGCACGAUAAACAAAAUAUCAUAUAGAAGCUGUGUCUGCCAGAACUGCAAGUCACUAACAUGAUUAGGGAUGAAAACGGUCAGAAACGGUCGGUAAACACUAAAACCAUUACCGUUUUCAUAUUUUUUAUCGGAAACAAAAUCGAAAACGGUAACUCCGGAAACGGAAACGAUAUCGGUAUUUCGGAAACAUCGGAAACGAAAGUUCGGUGCGGAAAAUACACCUGUAACGGUCGAAAUCUAAAAUACGAUCGGUAAACAUAUCAAACUUCACAAUAAAACAAAAUUGACAAAACAUCACAAAUACCACAAGUUCACAAUUCAUGAUAUAACAAGUUCACAAGGAUCACAAAUUUAUAAUAUAAAAAGUUUACAAAGAUCACAAGUUCACAAUAUAACAAGUUCACAGUAUAACAAGUUCAUAAAGAUCACAAGUUAACAUACUCAAAGUUCAUAAUUCACAAUAUCCACUCGAUUUAGUUGACGUGGCAUGCUUACUCAUGAAAUAUUUUUUCCUUACAUAAAGGGUUUUUCACAGCCUCACAGGAAAACCCUAAAAUCUAAUGUGUGGAAAAGACAGACUGUCGGCUCUCUAUCAUUAUAUAUUACUAAUACAUAACAUGUGCAUAGAAAAUGGUGGAUUCGUUCGAGAGACCAAAUCGUUAAUCUCAACUACCUUCCAACACCAUCUAACCCCAAAAAAUCUUAAAGCGUCCAAAAAAUACAAAAAUAAGUAAUCCUUAUCCAGAGAUGUACAGGCGAUGCGAAAAAAUCACAUGCUGGAAAAUUCCGAAAAAAAUUCCGAGACACAAUUCCGGAAAUUUCCGAGACAUAAAUCCGGUAAUUUCCGACAAAAACCGGUAACCGAUGGAAACGGUCGGUAAAACACUACGCCGAUUCCGAUACCGAUUCCGAUAGAAAAUUCCGAAAACCGAUUCCGUUUUCGAAAAAUACCGUUACCGAUGAAUCCGAUCGAAAAAUUUCGAAAUCGGUUUCCGGAAUUCCGAAAAAUUUCGAAACCGUUUUCAUCCCUAAACAUGAUCCUGUAGCCCGUUCGCAAUGCUGCUAGCCAACUACUGCAGUAAACCAUUGCAUGAGCAUCAAAGCAUACUUAGUUUACCAAUGAUGAUCAAGA
Molecule: long non-coding RNA, 1187 nt
Filed under: Zea mays
Lineage: Eukaryota; Viridiplantae; Streptophyta; Magnoliopsida; Poales; Poaceae
Description: long non-coding RNA (ZMAY_LNC002217)
Source: RNAcentral